RNAcentral lists this transfer RNA (70 nucleotides) under Atelura formicaria. RNAcentral's name for it is "tRNA-Cys". Lineage: Eukaryota; Metazoa; Arthropoda; Insecta; Zygentoma; Nicoletiidae. The record is from RNAcentral.
AGCCUUAUAGUCAAUUUAUGAUGUUGGAAUGCAAUUCUGGAGUUGUAUUAGUUUACUGAGGUUUAGGUUU